This 834-nucleotide ribosomal RNA is filed under the name Geopyxis delectans. RNAcentral's name for it is "eukaryotic LSU rRNA". It matches the Rfam family "Eukaryotic large subunit ribosomal RNA", at positions 70 to 924 of the family's 3401-position model. The record is from RNAcentral. Lineage: Eukaryota; Fungi; Ascomycota; Pezizomycetes; Pezizales; Tarzettaceae.
AGGGAUUGCCUUAGUAACUGCGAGUGAAGCGGCAAAAGCUCAAAUUUGAAAUCUGGGGCCUCACAGCCUCCGAAUUGUAAUUUCGCGAUGCGUCUUUGACGGAUGGCUCUACUUUAAGUUCCUUGGAACAGGACGUCACAGAGGGUGAGAAUCCCGUGAUAGGUAGGGCCCGAAGCAUAUAAUACGUAUUCUACGAGUCGAGUUGUUUGGGAAUGCAGCUCAAAAUGGGUGGUAAAUUUCAUCUAAAGCUAAAUAUUGGCGAGAGACCGAUAGCGCACAAGUAGAGUGAUCGAAAGAUGAAAAGCACUUUGAAAAGAGAGUUAAAAAGUACGUGAAAUUGUUGAAAGGGAAGCGCUUGAGACCAGACUCCAUCUGUGGUGAUCAGCGGUGCUUUUGUGCCGUGCACUUGCCACUUAUGGGGCCAGCAUCGGUUCUGGCGGUGGGAUAAAGUCCCGGGGAAUGUAGCUGCCUUUAGGCAGUGUUAUAGCCCCGGGAGUAAUGCCACCAGCUGGGACCGAGGACCGCGCUUCGGCUAGGAUGCUGGCGUAAUGGUCUUCAGCGACCCGUCUUGAAACACGGACCAAGGAGUCUAACAUCUAUGCGAGUGUUCGGGUGAAAAACCCUUGCGCGUAAUGAAAGUGAACGGAGGUGGGAACCUUAGGGUGCACCAUCGACCGAUCCUGAUGUCUUCGGAAGGAUUUGAGUAUGAGCAUAGCUGUUGGGACCCGAAAGAUGGUGAACUAUGCCUGAAUAGGGUGAAGCCAGAGGAAACUCUGGUGGAGGCUCGCAGCGGUUCUGACGUGCAAAUCGAUCGUCAAAUUUGGGUAUAGGGGC